UACGAAGGGUGCAAGCGUUACUCGGAAUUACUGGGCGUAAAGCGUGCGUAGGUGGUUUGUUAAGUCUGCUGUGAAAGCCCCGGGCUCAACCUGGGAAUGGCAGUGGAUACUGGGCAAGCUAGAGUGCGGUAGAGGGGUGUGGAAUUCCCGGUGUAGCGGUGAAAUGCGUAGAGAUCGGGGAGGAACACCAGUGGCGAAGGCGGCACCCUGGACCAGCACUGACACUGAGGCACGAAAGCGUGGGGAGCAAACAGG
Molecule: ribosomal RNA, 255 nt
Filed under: uncultured bacterium
Lineage: Bacteria
Description: partial 16S ribosomal RNA
Rfam family: Bacterial small subunit ribosomal RNA
Source: RNAcentral